UGGGGCUGGGGGUCACUUAUGGGGCUGGCGGUCAUUUAUGGGAAUGGGGGUCACUUAUGGGGCCAGGCUCACUUCUGGGCUCAUUAUGGGGCCAUUCUCCCUUAUGGGGUUGGACUCCCUUAUAGGGCUGGGGGUCACUUAUGGGGCUGGGGGUCACUUAUGGGAUUGGGGGUCACUUAUGGGGCCAUUCUCCCUUAUGGGGUUGGACUCCCUUAUGGGGCUGGGGGUCACUUAUGGGUCUGGGGGUCACUUAUGGGGCCAUUCUCCCUUAUGGGGUUGGGGAUCACUUAUGGGGUUGGGGGUCAUUUAUGGGGCUGGGGGGGUCAUUUAUGGGGUUGGGGAUCACUUAUGGGGCCAUUCUCCCUUAUGGGGCCAUUCUCCCUUAUGGGGUUGGACUCCCUUAUGGGAUUGGACUCCCUUAUGGGGCUGGGGGUCACUUAUGGGUCUGGGGGUCACUUAUGGGGCCAGGCUCACCCCUGGUCCCCCCCCCCAGUACUACUAUGACGUGGGGGCCCAGCAGUACCUCUAUUGGGACGGGCAGCGCCGCACUUACCUGCCCGCCCCCCCCGCCGCCUCCGAGCCCCCGCCGGGACCCCCGGGACCCCCGAAGGAACCCAAAGAUAAGAAGGAGAAACACAAAACCAAAACGGCCCAGCAGGUGGGGAAAGGGGGGGGGGGAAAGUUCUGGAAUGCCAGAGAAAGCAAUGGGACCCCAUAGAACACAAUGGGACCCCAUAGAAUCCCACAGAACGCAAUGGGACCCCAUAGAACCCAAUGGGAUGCCAUAGAAUCCCAUAGAACCCAUUGGGCCCCAUAGAACCCAAUGGGAUCCCAUAGAAUCCCAUAGAAUCCCACAGAACCCAAUGGGACCCCAUAGAAUCCCAUAGAACCCCAUGGGACACAAUGGGACCCCAUAGAACCCAAUGGGAUCACAUAGAAUGCCACAGAACUCAAUGCGACCCCAUAGAAUCCCAUAGAACUCAAAGGGACCCCAUAGAUCCCAUAGAACUCAAUGGGACCCCAUAGAACCCAAUGGGACCGCAUAGAAUCCCAUAGAACACAAUGGGACCCCAUAGAAUCCCAUAGAACACAAUGGGACCCCAUAGAAUCCCAUAGAACCCAGUGGGACCCCAUAGAACCCAAUGGUAUCCCAUAGAAUCCCAUAGAACCCAACGGGACCUCAUAGAAUUCCAUAGAACCCCAUGGGACCCCAUAGAAUCCAAUGACGCCCCAUAGAAUCCCAUAGAACCCCAUGGGACACAAUGGAAACCCCCCGCCCCCCCCCGGGACCCCCGGGACCCCCGAAGGAACCCAAAGAUAAGAAGGAGGAACACAAAACCAAAACGGCCCAGCAGGUGGGGAAAGGGGGGGGGGGGAAAGUUCUGGAAUGCCAGAGAAAGCAAUGGGACCCCAUAGAACACAAUGGGACCCCAUAGAUCCCAUAGAACCCCAUGGGACACAAUGGGACCCCAUAGAUCCCAAUGGGACCCCAUAGAACCCCAUAGAAUCCAAUGGGACACAAUGGGACCCCAUAGAUCCCAUAGAACCCAAUGUGACCCCAUAGAACUCAAUGGGACUCCAGAGAAUCCCAUAGAACCCAUUGGGCCCCAUAGAAUCCCAUAGAACCCCAUGGGACACAAUAGGGCCCCAUAGAUCCCAAUGGGACCCCAUAGGAUCCCAUAGAACACAAUGGGAACCCAUAGAACUCAAUGGGAUCC
RNAcentral lists this long non-coding RNA (1718 nucleotides) under Phasianus colchicus (ring-necked pheasant). RNAcentral describes it as "lncRNA (ENSPCLG00000016874.1)". The record is from RNAcentral. Lineage: Eukaryota; Metazoa; Chordata; Aves; Galliformes; Phasianidae.